Long non-coding RNA from Drosophila ficusphila, 443 nucleotides. RefSeq lists it as uncharacterized. The transcript is spliced from 2 exons. The record is from RefSeq and is a predicted model, not a curated record. Lineage: Eukaryota; Metazoa; Arthropoda; Insecta; Diptera; Drosophilidae.
GUUAAAGGUUCAUAUGAUAACAUGAACAUAUGAACUUAAACAUAUGAUUACUAUAAAGUUUUUAUUUACUGUCAAAAAUCGACAGGCCUAUUUUGACAAGCCAGCCAGAUUCUGAAACGUCAGCCUAUGCCAUUUUAGACAUGGAUCGACUCAACCAAAAAUCGGGAAAACUGUGCGUGCCUAUCGUAAGAAAUAUGGGAGACAUUCGGAUUUGACGGCACCGGACUUUUUUCUGUGGGGCUACUUGAAGAGUAAGGUGUAUGUCAGCAAACCGAAGACUAUUGAAGAACUAAAAGCUAAUAUCAAAGCGGAAAUUGCUGCUAUUACGCCCGAAAUGUUGUCGAAUACAAUGCUAAAUGCCCAAAAAAGGGCCGCUUUUUGUGUUUCUAAUGAUCGAUAUUGUAUUCUGAGUGAAUUGUCAAUAAAUGGCAUUCUAUACCCUA